GUCCUUAGUUGCCAGCGAGUCAAGUCGGGAACUCUAAGGAGACUGCCGGUGAUAAACCGGAGGAAGGUGGGGAUGACGUCAAGUCAUCAUGGCCCUUAUGGGCUGGGCUACACACGUGCUACAAUGGCCGGUACAGAGGGUCGCAAGCCCGCGAGGGGGAGCCAAUCUCAGAAAACCGGUCGUAGUCCGGAUCGCAGUCUGCAACUCGACUGCGUGAAGUCG
Molecule: ribosomal RNA, 222 nt
Filed under: Phaeochromatium fluminis
Lineage: Bacteria; Pseudomonadati; Pseudomonadota; Gammaproteobacteria; Chromatiales; Chromatiaceae
Description: partial 16S ribosomal RNA
Rfam family: Bacterial small subunit ribosomal RNA
Source: RNAcentral